This 161-nucleotide unclassified non-coding RNA is filed under the name uncultured Helotiales. RNAcentral's name for it is "sequence contains ITS1". Lineage: Eukaryota; Fungi; Ascomycota; Leotiomycetes; Helotiales. The record is from RNAcentral.
CAGAGAACUUGCCCUUCGGGGUAGAUCUCCCACCCUUUGUUUACAAUACCUUUGUUGCUUUGGCAGGCCCGUCUUCGGACCACCGGCUCCGGCUGGUCAGUGCCUGUCAGAGGACCCCAAAACUCUUCAUAAUUUAUUGUCUGAGUACUAUAUAAUAGUUA